This is an RNA transcript of Lagenorhynchus albirostris (white-beaked dolphin), 3199 nucleotides long. It is a transcript of the gene named tubulin polyglutamylase complex subunit 2, with no coding region annotated. Lineage: Eukaryota; Metazoa; Chordata; Mammalia; Artiodactyla; Delphinidae. The record is from RefSeq and is a predicted model, not a curated record. The transcript has 7 exons.
GCCCCGGCGGGGCGGGAGGGUCCGGGCGGUGGAGUCGCCGUGUCCCGGCGGCGUGGUGUGGAGCCCCUGCCGGGGCGGCGGGAACGAGCGCCUCGUAGAACUGCUACUCCCAGAGCAGCCCGGGCCCCCCAUCUCCGCCCAGCCGCGCUCUCAGGCUCCGAGCACUACAACUCCCGGCAUGCCGUGAACUUGACGGCCGCGCCUCCCGGGCGGAGUCCGGCCCUCCCGGCCGCCCGGCUCCCCCGCCCUGUCCCAGCCGCUCCUCAGACCGCGCGCGGAGCUGGGAUGCAAGCCAUGGAGGAGACACCGCCCCCGUUGCUGGGCAGCAACAAGCCGCACCUGGAGAAGCUGACCUUGGGGGUCACCCGCAUCCUAGAAUCAUCCCCAGGUGUGACAGAGGUGACCAUCAUAGAAAAGGCGCCUGCUGAACGUCAUAUGAUUUCUUCAUGGGAACAAAAAAAUAACUGUGUGCUGCCUGAGGAUCUGAAAAACUUUUACCUGAUGACCAAUGGCUUCCACAUGACAUGGAAUGUGAAGCUGGAUGAACAUACCAUUCCAUUGGGCAGCAUGGCAAUUAACAGCAUCUCAAAACUGACUCAACUCAACCAGUCUUCCCUGUACUCACUUCCUAACGCACCAACUCUUGCAGACCUGGAGGACGAUACACAAGAAGAACAGUGGAAACAACACGCAAAAGUAGCUCAACUGAUAUUUCACUUCCUGAUAUGUACACAUUCUAUCAACACUCUGAACUUACUGAUGACUAAGGAAGGACUGAAAGAGAAAUUUUGAGCUGCCCUAUGUUUUCCUUCUGUGUCAUCAUUUCAGCUUGACUGACACUGGGAGAGUACCAAUCCAAAUUGGAAUCUUGUGAUUAAUUUCCUUUGGCUUAAGCCAACGCAGACUGGAUUCUGUUUUUCCCACCAAGCAUUCUCUGGUUAACACAUCAGCCUUCAUUAUGGAGUUACUGUGAAGAUUAAAUACACAGCAUGAAGAGUGGCAAAGAAUACCUUGGAGAGCAACCAGAGCAGGGACACAAACAGCCCUCAGAAUAGUUCAAGACCAACACAGACACCUCGUCCCUCAAGCAAAAGCUGCACAGUGAGGGACAAUCUAUUAAGGGCAAGAUUAAACCUCUGGGAAAACAGCUUACCUUUACCAAGGCUCCAGUUCCCAACUUUAUACUUUUAAACUGUGUUUUCUUUAAAUGAGGUCAUCCCUUGGGAGAGACGGAGAUACAGAUUGCACUUGAGGGUCUCUGUUUAAGUCUCUGGUGGUUCCUGAGGCACACCUGCUCCCAUAGGUGGCUCUAGACCAUGGCCACGCAGGUUCUAGACAGAGUGUUGGGAUUCUAGAAUAUAGGCUUGUUGAACAACUUAAUAAGAAAAACUGUUUUCCUUUAAACAUGUGAUUCUAAAACAGACUGCUGUGACCUUAAUUACCAUCCUCACAAAUCAUGUUUUUGGCCAUUUAAAAAAAUGGGAAAUCACCUUCAAUAUUAUAAUAUCAAUAAUAGGAAAAAUUCAAUCAAGCACAAGACAAAUUUAAAAAUUAGUCUUACAACAUUCUUCUAUAAACACAAGCUUAUAAAGCUUAAUUUAACCCAAAGGUGAACUUCCAUUUACAGAUGUUGAUUUAGGAAGUUGUUUAAACUUCUAUAACCUUUACAGAUUUCAGGACAAGUUCUUCUUCCAUAGAUAGACAAGUUGUUUUUUAUACCACCUACUGACGGGCUUCUAGAUCAGAGCCCAUUUUCCACUGAGACUGCAUAUCUGAGGAUGGUUUACACUGGGAAUGGACUCCUUUAUUCCCUUGUCACUUCCAAUCUUAGGCCUAAUGUUCUGAGCCAAGAAGCGCUCUGAUGUUGGUUGAAUUCCUCUAAUUCUGUAGCCAGGUCUACCACCAGCUGCUGUGUGCUGAGCUCCAGUCAAAAUGACCUAAAUCAGCAUACCAUCAAGGACACCAUUUUUUUCUGAGGCUGGAUAGAACAGCUACAAAAGCUUGCCCAGGCAUCCAUCUCUUUCUGUAUAGCAACAUUUUAGAUUCUUAUUUGAAACUUGGGGUUUACAAAAAUAUAAUUUUUCCAUUGGGUACUCAAUUCAAAUGUUUUUUGGAAGGGGUGACUGCUUCUGUCUCCUAGCCCACUGCCGUGCCCAGAAGUGUCUGGCUGUCACCCUGUGGAACCCCCCUCCCAGAAAGCAGCACAGGGUUAAAAAGCAUUUCUAGGCAGAGUCUCUCUGAAGGAAAAUGAGACUUCUGGUCUGUUUUCUGAAAGAGCAAUAGCCAAGGCCUCUGCUUAGCUAGGCCAACUGAAUAGUCCAAGUACUGCAGUGACCUAUCGCAGUCCAAGAAAGCCUGCCGCUCACAGAGGAACAGAAGGUGUCCUACUUACCUCGUGGUGGAUUUAAUGCCAUACCUUUAAUGUGCUGCGCCAAUCCUCUGUGGAAUAUCUUUAUUUUCUUCCAGUUUUAUUUAGAUAUAAUUGACAUAUAGCCCUGUGUAUGUUUAAAGUAUACAGCCUAAUGAUUUGACUUACAUACAUCAUGAAAUGAUUACACAGUAAGUUUAGUGAACAUCCAUCCUCUCAUAUAGAUGCAAAAUUAAAGAAACAGAAAAAAAGUAUUUUUUCUUGUGAUAAGAAUUCGUAGGAUUUACUCUCUUAACAACUUCAUAUAUAAUAUAUAGCAGUGUUAAUUAUAUUUAUCAUGUACGUUACAUCCCUAGGACUUAUUUACCUUAUCUGGAAGUUUGUACCUUUUGACUGCCUUCAUCCAAUUCCUCCUCCCCCCACCUGCUGCCUCUGGUAACCACAAAUCUGAUCUCUUUUUCUAAGAGUUUGUUUUGAAGUAUAAUUGGCCUAUAACACCAUGUUAGUUUUUUCCUAGGGUACAACACAGUGAUUCAAUAUUUCUAUACAUUUCAAAAUGAUCACAAGUCUAGUUACCAUCUGUCACCAUACAAAAAUAUUAUGUAAUUAUUGACUAUAUUCCCCACACUGUAUAUUUCAUACCUGUGACUCAUUUAUUUUAUAACUGGAAGUUUGUACCUCUUAAUUUCCCUCACCUAUCUCUCUCCUUCCCCCAACUCCUUCCCCUCUGGCAAACACCUGUUUGUUCUCUGUAUCUAUGAGUCUGUUUCUGUUUUGUUUGUUCAUUUGUUUUCAUGUAUAGAUUUCACAUUAAAGUAAAAUCAUAUGGUA